UGGGGUGUGGCGCAGCGGUAAAGCACUCGCCUCCCAUGUGUGAGGCACUGGGUUCGAUCCUCAGCACCACAU
RNAcentral lists this transfer RNA (72 nucleotides) under Ictidomys tridecemlineatus (thirteen-lined ground squirrel). RNAcentral describes it as "Spermophilus tridecemlineatus (thirteen-lined ground squirrel) tRNA". It matches the Rfam family "tRNA". Rfam says of the family: Transfer RNA (tRNA) molecules are approximately 80 nucleotides in length. Their secondary structure includes four short double-helical elements and three loops (D, anti-codon, and T loops). The record is from Rfam by way of RNAcentral. Lineage: Eukaryota; Metazoa; Chordata; Mammalia; Rodentia; Sciuridae.